RNAcentral lists this ribosomal RNA (859 nucleotides) under uncultured Methylomirabilota bacterium. Its description in RNAcentral is "bacterial SSU rRNA". It matches the Rfam family "Bacterial small subunit ribosomal RNA", at positions 199 to 1034 of the family's 1533-position model. Lineage: Bacteria; Methylomirabilota (SeqCode). The record is from RNAcentral.
AACCAAAGGGGGCGAGCGUAAGCAGCUCUCACCGAAGGAGGAGCCUGCGUCCGAUUAGCUAGUUGGUGGGGUAAUGGCCUACCAAGGCGACGAUCGGUAGCCGGCCUGAGAGGGCGAUCGGCCACACUGGAACUGAGACACGGUCCAGACUCCUACGGGAGGCAGCAGUGGGGAAUAUUGCGCAAUGGGCGAAAGCCUGACGCAGCGACGCCGCGUGGGUGAUGAAGGCCUUCGGGUCGUAAAGCCCUGUCUGGUGGAACGAAACGCCUGGCGGCCAAUACCCGCUGGGUUUGACGGUACCACCGAAGGAAGCCCCGGCUAACUACGUGCCAGCAGCCGCGGUAAGACGUAGGGGGCGAGCGUUGUUCGGAUUUACUGGGCGUAAAGCGCGCGUAGGCGGCCAGAUAAGUCGGGUGUGAAAGCCCUCGGCUCAACCGAGGUUCCGCAUCCGAUACUGCUUGGCUGGAGUCUAGGAGAGGAGAGCGGAAUUCCCAGUGUAGCGGUGAAAUGCGUAGAUAUUGGGAGGAACACCCGUGGCGAAGGCGGCUCUCUGGACUAGUACUGACGCUGAGGCGCGAAAGCUAGGGGAGCGAACGGAAUUAGAUACCCCGGUAGUCCUAGCCGUAAACGAUGGGCACUAGGUGUGGGAGGUAUUGACCCCUUCCGCGCCGAAGCUAACGCAUUAAGUGCCCCGCCUGGGGAGUACGGCCGCAAGGCUAAAACUCAAAGGAAUUGACGGGGGCCCGCACAAGCGGUGGAGCAUGUGGUUCAAUUCGACGCAACGCGAAGAACCUUACCAGGGCUUGACAUCCCACGAACCUGCCUGAAAGGGCGGGGUGCCCGCAAGGGAGCGCGGAGA